Molecule: non-coding RNA, 45 nt
Filed under: Schistosoma curassoni
Lineage: Eukaryota; Metazoa; Platyhelminthes; Trematoda; Strigeidida; Schistosomatidae
Source: RNAcentral
AUCCGGCUAACGAGUUUCAAAUAGGACGAAACGCACAUCCUGGAU